This 253-nucleotide ribosomal RNA is filed under the name uncultured bacterium. RNAcentral's name for it is "partial 16S ribosomal RNA". It matches the Rfam family "Bacterial small subunit ribosomal RNA", at positions 524 to 776 of the family's 1533-position model. The record is from RNAcentral.
UACGGCGGGUGCAAGCGUUACUCGGAAUCACUGGGCGUAAAGGGCGCGUAGGCGGCCUAGCAAGUCUGGUGUGAAAGCCCAGGGAUCAACCCUGGAAGGGCACUGGAAACUGUUAGGCUUGAGUUCCGGAGAGGAGGGGGGAAUUCCCGGUGUAGCGGUGAGAUGCGUAGAUAUCGGGAGGAAUACCGGUGGCGAAGGCGCCCCUCUGGACGGAAACUGACGCUGAGGCGCGAAAGCGUGGGGAGCAAACAGG